CGGUGUUCAACUGGCGUGCCCGCGGGACGUCCUGCCGGUGAGCUCAGCCCGCGAGGGCGGCUCAACUUGAAAUCCCAUCGCGGUGCUCUUCAUUGAGUGUCGAGGUGGGCCGGCACGAUUACUUUUGAACAAAUUAGAGUGCUUAAAGCAGGCUAAAAUUUUGCCUGAAUACUGUGUAUAUGGAAUAAUGGAAUAGGACCUCGGUUCUAUUUUGUUGGUUUUCGGAACCCCGAGGUAAUGAUUAAUAGGAACGGAUGGGGGCAUUCGUAUUGCGACGUUAGAGGUGAAAUUCUUGGAUCGUCGCAAGACGGACUAAAGCGAAAGCAUUUGCCAAAAACGCUUUCAUUGAUCAAGAACGAAAGUUAGAGGUUCGAAGGCGAUCAGAUACCGCCCUAGUUCUAACCAUAAACUAUGCCAGCUAGCGAUCCGCCGACGUCCCUCUGAUGACUCGGCGGGCAGCUUCCGGGAAACCAAAGCUUUUGGGUUCCGGGGGAAGUAUGGUUGCAAAGCUGAAACUUAAAGGAAUUGACGGAAGGGCACCACCAGGAGUGGAGCCUGCGGCUUAAUUUGACUCAACACGGGAAACCUCACCAGGCCCAGACACUGGAAGGAUUGACAGAUUGAGAGCUCUUUCUUGAUUCAGUGGGUGGUGGUGCAUGGCCGUUCUUAGUCGGUGGAGCGAUUUGUCAGGUUAAUUCCGAUAACGGACGAGACUCUGACCUGAUAACUAGACGCACUUGCGGCAUCUCAAAGGUCCGCCGGCGGCUGGCUUUGCGCCCGUCGUCGCGCGCGACUUUUACUGCCGGCGUACAAUAAAUUCUUCUUAGAGGGACAAGUGG
This 839-nucleotide ribosomal RNA is filed under the name uncultured eukaryote. RNAcentral's name for it is "SSU rRNA". It matches the Rfam family "Eukaryotic small subunit ribosomal RNA", at positions 635 to 1426 of the family's 1831-position model. The record is from RNAcentral.